This 486-nucleotide ribosomal RNA is filed under the name Prevotella sp. RNAcentral describes it as "partial 23S ribosomal RNA". It matches the Rfam family "Bacterial large subunit ribosomal RNA", at positions 1605 to 1957 of the family's 2925-position model. The record is from RNAcentral. Lineage: Bacteria; Pseudomonadati; Bacteroidota; Bacteroidia; Bacteroidales; Prevotellaceae.
CUGGCUAGAAAAGCAGGUGUACGCGUGGACUUAGCCGCCCGUACCGCAAACCAACACAGGUGCUCGAGUCGAGUAGACUCAGGCUUACGAGCGAACCUUCGCUAAGGAACUCGGCAAUACAGCGACCGUAACUUCGGGAUAAGGUCUGCCCCCACUUCGGUGGAUAUCAGCCGCGUUCACUCAGUGAAUAUUAGGUUAAAGAGUACAUUUUUAAUCACAAAACGAAUUUUCUGAGAUAGAGCAAACGAAUUGUUCUUUUGAACGCGAACCUCUGGCAUCUAGCGAUGUGGGGGCCGCAGCAAAAGAGCCCACGGAACUGUUUAUCAAAAACACAGGUGCGUGCGAAGCCGUAAGGCGAUGUAUACGCACUGACGCCUGCCCGGUGCUGGAAGGUUAAGAGGAUCCGUGAGCCCCUUGGAUACAUGGGGUGAGGCGGUGAGUUCAAGCCCCAGUAAACGGCGGUGGUAACUAUAACCAUCCUAAGGU